Molecule: ribosomal RNA, 809 nt
Filed under: uncultured Acidobacteriaceae bacterium
Lineage: Bacteria; Pseudomonadati; Acidobacteriota; Terriglobia; Terriglobales; Acidobacteriaceae
Description: bacterial SSU rRNA
Rfam family: Bacterial small subunit ribosomal RNA
Source: RNAcentral
CGAGUCGAACGAGAAAGUGGAGCAAUCCAUGAGUAAAGUGGCGCACGGGUGAGUAACACGUGACUAACCUACCCUUGAGUGGGGAAUAACUUCGGGAAACCGAGGCUAAUACCGCAUAACACCUACGGGUCAAAGGAGCAAUUCGCUUAAGGAGGGGGUCGCGGCAGAUUAGUUAGUUGGCGGGGUAAUGGCCCACCAAGACGGUGAUCUGUAUCCGGCCUGAGAGGGCGCACGGACACACUGGAACUGAAACACGGUCCAGACUCCUACGGGAGGCAGCAGUGGGGAAUUUUGCGCAAUGGGGGAAACCCUGACGCAGCAACGCCGCGUGGAGGAUGAAGUCCCUUGGGACGUAAACUCCUUUCGAUCGGGACGAUUAUGACGGUACCGGAAGAAGAAGCCCCGGCUAACUUCGUGCCAGCAGCCGCGGUAAUACGAGGGGGGCGAGCGUUGUUCGGAAUUAUUGGGCGUAAAGGGCGCGUAGGCGGUCGGAUAAGUCUUGUGUGAAAUCUUCGGGCUCAACUCGAAGUCUGCACAGGAAACUAUCUGGCUUGAGUGUGGGAGAGGUGAGUGGAAUUCCUGGUGUAGCGGUGAAAUGCGUAGAUAUCAGGAGGAACACCUGUGGCGAAAGCGGCUCACUGGACCACAACUGACGCUGAGGCGCGAAAGCUAGGGGAGCAAACAGGAUUAGAUACCCUGGUAGUCCUAGCCCUAAACGAUGAUUGCUUGGUGUGACGGGUACCCAAUCCCGCCGUGCCGCAGCUAACGCGUUAAGCAAUCCGCCUGGGGAGUACGGUCGCAAGGCUGAA